This 467-nucleotide ribosomal RNA is filed under the name uncultured bacterium. Its description in RNAcentral is "partial 16S ribosomal RNA". It matches the Rfam family "Bacterial small subunit ribosomal RNA", at positions 28 to 507 of the family's 1533-position model. The record is from RNAcentral.
GACGAACGCUGGCGGCGUGCUUAACACAUGCAAGUCGAACGGAAAGGCCCUGCUUUUGUGGGGUGCUCGAGUGGCGAACGGGUGAGUAACACGUGAGUAACCUGCCCUUGACUUUGGGAUAACUUCAGGAAACUGGGGCUAAUACCGGAUAGGAGCUCCUGCUGCAUGGUGGGGGUUGGAAAGUUUCGGCGGUUGGGGAUGGACUCGCGGCUUAUCAGCUUGUUGGUGGGGUAGUGGCUUACCAAGGCUUUGACGGGUAGCCGGCCUGAGAGGGUGACCGGCCAAAUUGGGACUGAGAUCCGGCCCAGAUCCUUACGGGAGGAAGAAGUGGGGAAUAUGGCACAAGGGGCGGAAGCCGGAUGCAGAAACGCGGGGUGCGGGAUGAGGGCCUUCGGGUGGUAACCCGCUUUGGCCUGUGCCGAGCGUGAGUGACGGUAAUGGGUAAAGAAGCACCGGCUAACUACGUG